AGUCGAACGGAAGUCGUUAUAAAAAGGAUUGAAGAUUUAUCUGAUUGAGAUCUUUAACAAUGGCUUUAGUGGCGGACUGGUGAGUAACGCGUGAGCAACCUGCCUACUAGAGGGGAAUAACAGUGAGAAAUCAUUGCUAAUACCGCAUAUGCCAUGAACAUCACAUGAUGAAAAUGGGAAAAGAGUAAUCUGCUAGUAGAUGGGCUCGCGUCUGAUUAGAUAGUUGGUGGGGCAACGGCCUACCAAGUCGACGAUCAGUAGCCGGACUGAGAGGUUGAACGGCCACAUUGGGACUGAGAUACGGCCCAGACUCCUACGGGAGGCAGCAGUCGGGAAUAUUGCGCAAUGGAGGAAACUCUGACGCAGUGACGCCGCGUAUAGGAAGAAGGUUUUCGGAUUGUAAACUAUUGUCGUUAGGGAAGAUACAAGACAGUACCUAAGGAGGAAGCUCCGGCUAACUACGUGCCAGCAGCCGCGGUAAUACGUAGGGAGCAAGCGUUAUCCGGAUUUAUUGGGUGUAAAGGGUGCGUAGACGGGACAACAAGUUAGUUGUGAAAUCCCUCGGCUUAACUGAGAAACUGCAACUAAAACUAUUGUUCUUGGGUGUUGGAGAGGAAAGUGGAAUUCCUAGUGUAGCGGUGAAAUGCGUAGAUAUUAGGAGGAACACCGGUGGCGAAGGCGACUUUCUGGACAAUAACUGACGUUGAGGCACGAAAGUGUGGGGAGCAAACAGGAUUAGAUACCCUGGUAGUCCACACCGUAAACGAUGGAUACUAGGUGUA
RNAcentral lists this ribosomal RNA (782 nucleotides) under uncultured bacterium. RNAcentral describes it as "bacterial SSU rRNA". It matches the Rfam family "Bacterial small subunit ribosomal RNA", at positions 60 to 824 of the family's 1533-position model. The record is from RNAcentral.